CCUACGGGUGGCAGCAGUGAGGAAUAUUGGUCAAUGGGCGCGAGCCUGAACCAGCCAAGUAGCGUGAAGGAAGACGGUCCUAUGGAUUGUAAACCUCUUUUGUCGGGGAGCAAAGUGCGCCACGCGUGCCUUUCCGAGAGUACCCUACGAACAAGCAUCGGCUAACUCCGUGCCAGCAGCCGCGGUAAUACGGAGGAUCCGAGUGUUAUCCGGAUUUAUUGGGUUUAAAGGGGGCGCAGUGGGUUUGUUAAGUCAGCUGUCAAAGCCUGGGGCUCAACCCCAUGCCUGCAGUUGAUACUGGCAGUCUUGAGUGGGAUAGAAGUAGGCGGAAUUCGCGGUGUAGCGGUGAAAUGCAUAGAUAUCGCGAAGAACUCCGAUUGCGAAGGCAGCAUGCCGGACCGACACUGACGCUGAGGCACGAAAGCGUGGGUAUCGAACAGGAUUAGAUACCCGAGUAGUC
Molecule: ribosomal RNA, 460 nt
Filed under: uncultured bacterium
Lineage: Bacteria
Description: partial 16S ribosomal RNA
Rfam family: Bacterial small subunit ribosomal RNA
Source: RNAcentral